AUACGUAGGUGGCAAGCGUUGUCCGGAAUUACUGGGUGUAAAGGGCGUGUAGGCGGGAAUGUAAGUCAGAUGUGAAAUCCCAGGGCUUAACCCUGGAGCUGCAUCUGAAACUAUGUUUCUUGAGUGCCGGAGAGGAAAGCGGAAUUCCUAGUGUAGCGGUGAAAUGCGUAGAUAUUAGGAGGAACACCAGUGGCGAAGGCGGCUUUCUGGACGGUAACUGACGCUGAGGCGCGAAAGCGUGGGGAGCAAACAGGAUUAGAUACCCUGGUAGUCCACGCUGUAAACGAUGGAUACUAGGUGUAGGAGGUAUCGACCCCUUCUGUGCCGGAGUUAACACAAUAAGUAUCCCACCUGGGGAGUACGGCCGCAAGGUUGAAACUUAAAGGAAUUGACGGGG
This 397-nucleotide ribosomal RNA is filed under the name uncultured bacterium. RNAcentral's name for it is "partial 16S ribosomal RNA". It matches the Rfam family "Bacterial small subunit ribosomal RNA", at positions 523 to 918 of the family's 1533-position model. The record is from RNAcentral.